This 305-nucleotide ribosomal RNA is filed under the name uncultured bacterium. RNAcentral's name for it is "bacterial SSU rRNA". It matches the Rfam family "Bacterial small subunit ribosomal RNA", at positions 334 to 637 of the family's 1533-position model. The record is from RNAcentral.
GUUGCCUACGGGACGCAGCAGUGAGGAAUAUUGGUCAAUGGCCGGAAGGCUGAACCAGCCAAGCCGCGUGAAGGACGAAGGUGCCAAGCAUUGUAAACUUCUUUUGUCAAGGGACAAAAUCAGGCUCGAGAGCCUGACCGAGGGUACUUGAAGAAAAAGCAUCGGCUAACUCCGUGCCAGCAGCCGCGGUAAUACGGAGGAUGCGAGCGUUAUCCGGAUUUAUUGGGUUUAAAGGGUGCGUAGGCGGGCUGUUAAGUCAGCGGUAAAAGCCCGGGGCUCAACCACGGCGAGCCGGUGAAACUGGG